CGAGGUAUAGCUCAGUGGUAGAGUGCAUACCUAGGAUGCACAAAGCCCUGGGUUCAAUCCCCAGGAUCUCCA
Molecule: transfer RNA, 72 nt
Filed under: Camelus bactrianus (Bactrian camel)
Lineage: Eukaryota; Metazoa; Chordata; Mammalia; Artiodactyla; Camelidae
Also listed under: 1 other name
Rfam family: tRNA
About the family: Transfer RNA (tRNA) molecules are approximately 80 nucleotides in length.
Source: Rfam by way of RNAcentral